RNAcentral lists this ribosomal RNA (253 nucleotides) under uncultured bacterium. Its description in RNAcentral is "partial 16S ribosomal RNA". It matches the Rfam family "Bacterial small subunit ribosomal RNA", at positions 524 to 773 of the family's 1533-position model. The record is from RNAcentral.
GACAGAGGGUGCAAACGUUGUUCGGAAUUACUGGGCGUAAAGCGCGUGUAGGUGGCAAGGCAAGUCGGGUGUGAAAGCCCUGGGCUCAACCCAGGAAGUGCACUCGAUACUGCCUCGCUAGAGUCCCGGAGAGGUUGGUGGAACUCUCGGUGUAGAGGUGAAAUUCGUAGAUAUCGAGAAGAACACCGGUGGCGAAGGCGGCCAACUGGACGGUGACUGACACUGAGACGCGAAAGCGUGGGGGAGACCAAAC